GACGAAGGGGGCUAGCGUUGUUCGGAAUUACUGGGCGUAAAGCGCGUGUAGGCGGUUGCCAUAGUCAGGUGUGAAAGCCUUGAGCUCAACUCAAGAAAUGCACUUGAUACUGGGCGACUAGAGGACCGGAGAGGAUAGUGGAAUUCCCAGUGUAGUGGUGAAAUACGUAGAGAUUGGGAAGAACACCAGUGGCGAAGGCGGCUAUCUGGACGGUUUCUGACGCUAAGACGCGAAGGCGUGGGUAGCAAACAGG
Molecule: ribosomal RNA, 253 nt
Filed under: uncultured bacterium
Lineage: Bacteria
Description: partial 16S ribosomal RNA
Rfam family: Bacterial small subunit ribosomal RNA
Source: RNAcentral